AAAAUACGCCCCGUUUUUACGAGAAUGGGUUCUAUUCCCAAACCGUGUUUACAUACCUUUGUUGCUUUGGCGGGCCGCCGUCUUGGCGUUGGCUUCGGCUGACUGUGCCCGCCAGAGGACCCCAACUCUUUUGUUUAAUAAUGUCUGAGUACUAUAUAAUAGUUA
Molecule: unclassified non-coding RNA, 165 nt
Filed under: uncultured Hyaloscypha
Lineage: Eukaryota; Fungi; Ascomycota; Leotiomycetes; Helotiales; Hyaloscyphaceae
Description: sequence contains ITS1
Source: RNAcentral